AGCGUGGGGAGGUGAGACCACGGUCCAAGGACUCCUACGGGAGGCAGGCAAGUUGGAGGGAAUAUUUGCACAAUGGAGGGAAACUCUUGGAUGCAGCAACGCCGCGUGGAGGGAUGACGCAUUUGCGGUGUGUAAGACUCCUUUUAAGAGGGAGAGAUAAUGACGGUACCUCUUGAAUAAGCACCGGCUAACUCCGUGCCAGCAGCCGCGGUAAUACGGAGGGUGCAAGCGUUACUCGGAAUCACUGGGCGUAAAGGGCGCGUAGGCUGGCUUUUAAGUCAGAUGUGAAAUCCUAUGGCUUAACCAUAGAACUGCAUGGUGAAACUGAAAGCCUAGAGUUCAGAAGGGGCAGAUGGAAUUAGUGGUGUAGGGGUAAAAUCCGUAGAUAUCACUAGGAAUAUCAAAAGCGAAGGCGAUCUGCUGGGAUGAUACUGACGCUGAGGCGCGAAAGCGUGGGGAGCAAACAGGAUUAGAUACCCUGGUAGUCCACGCCCUAAACGAUGAAUGUCUAGUCGUCGGGGUACUCGUUACUUCGGUGAUGCACUUAAACAAGAUUAAGCAUUCCGCCUGGGGAGUACGGUCGCAAGAUUAAAACUCAAAGGAAUAGACGGGGACCCGCACAAGUUGGUGGAGCAUGUGGUUUAAUUCGAAGAUACACGAAGAACCUUACCUGGCCUUGACAUGGUAGGAAUCCUGUAGAGAUACGGGAGUGCUGGCUUGCCAGAGCCUACACACAGGUGCUGCACGGCUGUCGUCAGCUCGUGUCGUGAGAUGUUGGGUUAAGUCCCGCAACGAGCGCAACCCUCGUCCUUAGUUGCUAACAGUUCGGCUGAGCACUCUAAGGAGACUGCCUUCGCAAGGAGGAGGAAGGUGAGGACGACGUCAAGUCAUCAUGGCCCUUACGGCCAGGGCUACACACGUGCUACAAUGGGGCGUACAAAGAGUUGCAAUACCGCGAGGUGGAGCCAAUCUCUUAAAGCGUCUCUCAGUUCGGAUUGUUCUCUGCAACUCGAGAACAUGAAGCUGGAAUCACUAGUAAUCGUAGAUCAGCUAUGCUACGGUGAAUACGUUCCCGGGUCUUGUACUCACCGCCCGUCACACCAUGGGAGUUGAUUUCACCCGAAAUCGGGAUGCCAAACUGGCUACCGCUUACGGUGGAAU
Molecule: ribosomal RNA, 1161 nt
Filed under: uncultured bacterium
Lineage: Bacteria
Description: bacterial SSU rRNA
Rfam family: Bacterial small subunit ribosomal RNA
Source: RNAcentral